GACGAACGCUGGCGGCGUGCUUAACACAUGCAAGUCGUACGGUAAGGCCCUUUCGGGGGUACACGAGUGGCGAACGGGUGAGUAACACGUGAGUAACCUGCCCACAACUUUGGGAUAACGCUAGGAAACUGGUGCUAAUACUGGAUAUGUGCUCCUGCUGCAUGGUGGGGGUUGGAAAGCUCCGGCGGUUGUGGAUGGACUCGCGGCCUAUCAGCUUGUUGGUGGGGUAGUGGCCUACCAAGGCGGCGACUGGUAGCCGGCCUGAGAGGGUGACCGGCCACAUUGGGACUGAGAUACGGCCCAGACUCCUACGGGAGGGAGCAGUGGGGAAUAUUGCACAAUGGGCGCAAGCCUGAUGCAGCAGCGCCGCGUGCGUGAUGACGGCCUUAGGGUUGUAAGCCGCGUUCAGCAGGGACGAAGCUUUUUGUGACGGUACCUGCAGAAGAAGCACCGGCUAACUACGUG
Molecule: ribosomal RNA, 465 nt
Filed under: uncultured bacterium
Lineage: Bacteria
Description: partial 16S ribosomal RNA
Rfam family: Bacterial small subunit ribosomal RNA
Source: RNAcentral